Molecule: ribosomal RNA, 389 nt
Filed under: uncultured bacterium
Lineage: Bacteria
Description: bacterial SSU rRNA
Rfam family: Bacterial small subunit ribosomal RNA
Source: RNAcentral
AUUAAACGCUGGCGGCAUGCCUUACACAUGCAAGUCGAACGGCAGCACGGGGGCAACCCUGGUGGCGAGUGGCGAACGGGUGAGUAAAGCAUCGGAACGUGCCCUGGAGUGGGGGAUAACGUAGCGAAAGUUACGCUAAUACCGCAUAUUCUGUGAGCAGGAAAGCAGGGGAUCGCAAGACCUCUUGCUUUAGGAGCGGCCGAUGUCGGAUUAGCUAGUUGGUGAGGUAAAGGCUCACCAAGGCGACGAUCUGUAGCGGGUCUGAGAGGAUGAUCCGCCACACUGGAACUGAGACACGGUCCAGACUCCUACGGGAGGCAGCAGUGGGGAAUUUUUGGGACAAUGGGCGCAAGCCUGAUCCAGCCAUGCCGCGUGAGUGAAGAAGGCCU